CGGCCGCGCAGAGGCGGGUGCGUGUGAGACGCAGGAAGGGGCAGGGCUGAGGGGAAGGGGCAAGGCCUGAGGAGUGGGCGGGCCUCGAGGGAAGGGGCGAGGCCUGGGGCGGACGGGGGCGGGGCUUACCGAGGGGCAGGGUUUGUUGUGAGGGGGCGGGGUCUGCAGGGAAUCGGGGCGGGGCUUAGGACGCAGAGCGGUUAGACACCGCCUGGUUAUGCAAAUUAGGGGUGGGGCUUAUCGGCGUCGGGUCCGCCCCCGGCUUGGUCCCAGCGCCCCAGUGCCCGCACCCGCGGGCGCCGCUCCCUCAGCGAGGCCGCUCCGGACCGGCGGUCCGAGCCGCGUUCUGAGGCAAGACACGUCCUGUGCAGCUACAGCGCUUUCCACCAGCGGCAGAAGUUCAGCUUUUGGCUCUCUGCAGGCACCGAGCGCUAUUUACUUCUUUCCUCUGUAGAUAAUUUAUCUACUGAAGGCUGUUAUGUCUCCCUUCUCUGUAUGGAAUGUCCAUCUUUUCCUGUAGGUUGUGUCCUUGCUCUCUUCUGGGCUUUCUUCCAGACACUCCACACCUCGAAGGAUACUGCCCAAAACUGGGGGCAAUCCUCCAGCUUGGUCAGCAGAACUCACACAAGGAUUUCAUCAUGUCUUACUGGUAAUCCUACCCAUCUCCAGCCUCCUGCUGUGCUGCCUGGAAUAUAAACCAACCUGUGCUUGAUGCAGAUGAAAUAAAAAUGUGGAAAGAUCCCCAGAUCCAUCUACCAUCCUCCUACCACAGUCUGGGCACCUGCAGGGGUCUGGAGCCUGUAGGUGAGCUCCUCAAGUGCUUUGGUGUCCUCAGGUCCAUGAAGUGUGACCCUGCUGCAGCAAGUCAAGGCAGCUGUGGCACUGGGUGCUCUUGAGCUGUGGCUGAUGUCACCUGUGACUGUCUUCCAGCCAUACAUCAUCUGUUGUGUCCAAAAGUUGUCCCCACCCACUGUCCAAGCCCUUCUCAGAGAGAGGGUUUGCCUCCUCCUGUAUUCCUUUUCCAGCACAUGUCUGCUGAGCUGUGGCUUUUUGGAGAUCCCAGUAAAACAAAGAGCUCCAAAUGUU
This is a long non-coding RNA of Falco peregrinus (peregrine falcon), 1086 nucleotides long. RefSeq lists it as uncharacterized. The transcript has 2 exons. NCBI's taxonomy places the organism in Eukaryota, Metazoa, Chordata, Aves, Falconiformes, Falconidae. The record is from RefSeq and is a predicted model, not a curated record.